GGGGGAUAACAGUUGGAAACGGCUGCUAAUACCGCAUAAGACCGCAUGGUAAAAACUCCGGUGGUGUGAGAUGGACCCGCGUCUGAUUAGCUAGUUGGCAGGGCAACGGCCUACCAAGGCGACGAUCAGUAGCCGACCUGAGAGGGUGACUGGCCACAUUGGGACUGAAACACGGCCCAAACUCCUACGGGAGGCAGCAGUGGGGAAUAUUGCACAAUGGGGGAAACCCUGAUGCAGCGACGCCGCGUGAGCGAAGAAUUAUUUCGGUAUGUAAAGCUCUAUCAGCAGGGAAGAAAAAUGACGGUACCUGACUAAGAAGCACCGGCUAAAUACGUGCCAGCAGCCGCGGUAAUACGUAUGGUGCAAGCGUUAUCCGGAUUUACUGGGUGUAAAGGGAGCGCAGGCGGAA
This 409-nucleotide ribosomal RNA is filed under the name uncultured bacterium. RNAcentral describes it as "bacterial SSU rRNA". It matches the Rfam family "Bacterial small subunit ribosomal RNA", at positions 138 to 580 of the family's 1533-position model. The record is from RNAcentral.